Molecule: ribosomal RNA, 853 nt
Filed under: Petchiella siamensis
Lineage: Eukaryota; Fungi; Ascomycota; Sordariomycetes; Hypocreales; Clavicipitaceae
Description: Hypocreales sp. DT-2019a partial large subunit ribosomal RNA
Rfam family: Eukaryotic large subunit ribosomal RNA
Source: RNAcentral
UUGCCCCAGUAACGGCGAGUGAAGCGGCAACAGCUCAAAUUUGAAAUCUGGCCCCCAGGGCCCGAGUUGUAAUUUGCAGAGGAUGCUUUUGGCAAGGUGCCUUCCGAGUUCCCUGGAACGGGACGCCAUAGAGGGUGAGAGCCCCGUCUGGUCGGACGCCGAGCCUCUGUAAAGCUCCUUCGACGAGUCGAGUAGUUUGGGAAUGCUGCUCUAAAUGGGAGGUAUAUGUCUUCUAAAGCUAAAUACCGGCCAGAGACCGAUAGCGCACAAGUAGAGUGAUCGAAAGAUGAAAAGCACUUUGAAAAGAGGGUUAAACAGUACGUGAAAUUGUUGAAAGGGAAGCGCUCAUGACCAGACUUGGACCCGGUGAAUCAUCCAGCGUUCUCGCUGGUGCACUUCGCCGGGCUCAGGCCAGCAUCAGUUUGUCCCGGGGGAUAAAGGCUCGGGGAAUGUGGCUCCCUCGGGAGUGUUAUAGCCCCCCGCACAAUACCCUGGGGCGGACUGAGGUUCGCGCAUCUGCAAGGAUGCUGGCGUAAUGGUCAUCAGCGACCCGUCUUGAAACACGGACCAAGGAGUCGUCUUCGUAUGCGAGUGUUUGGGUGUCAAACCCCUACGCGUAAUGAAAGUGAACGCAGGUGAGAGCUUCGGCGCAUCAUCGACCGAUCCUGAUGUUCUCGGAUGGAUUUGAGUAAGAGCAUACGGGGCCGGACCCGAAAGAAGGUGAACUAUGCCUGUAUAGGGUGAAGCCAGAGGAAACUCUGGUGGAGGCUCGCAGCGGUUCUGACGUGCAAAUCGAUCGUCAAAUAUGGGCAUGGGGGCGAAAGACUAAUCGAACCUUCUAGUAGCUGGUUUC